CAAGUGAUCUACCUGCCUCAGCCUCCCAAAGUGCUGGGAUUACAGGCGUCUGGCCAUCUUCUAAAGAGUUUGAACCUACUGAAGAACUAUCUUGACUGUCUUGAUGAGGGAGCUGAAGAAAUCCUUCACUGGAGUCUGAGCGGAGACGAGAUUUCACCAUGUUGCCCAGGCUGGUCUCGAACUCCUGACCUCAAGCGAUCCACCCACCUUGGCCUCCCAAAGUGCUGGGAUUACAGGCGUGAGCCACCGCAUCCGGCCGAAGGCUUCUCAGUUUAAAGCCAUUGUUCUUUCAAGAUUUUGGAAGCAUUGCCCUCUACAGAAUCCACAGUAGUCCGAAGCUCUUCUACAGUUUUUGUCAAACUUUGAUUUUCCAUCUCUAACUUCAAUAAUCUACUUGAUGUCAACUCAUUCACCUCAUGGCCCAGGGAUUUCUGUGGUGCUAUAAUAUUGAAAAAUACACCAUUGUAUUUACUCUUUACCAUUUUUACUAUGUUUACUCUUUACUAUUUAAAAAGUUCAGUAUAUAUGCAUUGCAUCAUUUGAUCCUUAACUUUAUUAAAAAUUCAAUGAGGUUAUAUAAGAUAAACAUGAUAAGAGAGGUAAAUCUUUUUCUCCUUUUCUUUUUUUCUUUUUUUAAAGAGAUGGGAUCUCUCUCUGUCAUCCAGGCUGGAGUGCAGUGAUGCGUUCCUAGCUCACUGCAGCCUCAAACUCCUGGUCUGAAGGGAUCCUCCCAGUUCAGUCUCCCAAGCGGCUGGGACUACAGGUACAGCCAGUUAAUUUUUUUAUUUUUUAGUAAAGACUGGGUCUCUUGUUACUUAGGCUGGUCUGGGACUCCUGAGCUCAAGCAAUCCUCCUGCCUUAGCCUCCCAAAGUGCUGGGAUUACAGGCAUGAGCUGCUGCACCCAGCCAAGAGAUGAAUCUUUAACUUUUAAUGCAUCCACAGCAUUCUAGUGAAAAAAAGCAUAAAAUUUAGAUUGAAGAAACUGGCGUUCAAGCAGACCCAUUAAAUAUUUUGCUGAUACAAGAACAUUAGGAUUUACAAAUGAAAGAUGAGACCUACUAUUUCAAGAAAGGAAAUGAAUAAAGGCACUGGAGGGAAUUUCCAGUGUA
Non-coding RNA from Macaca mulatta (Rhesus monkey), 1110 nucleotides. The record is from RefSeq and is a predicted model, not a curated record. NCBI's taxonomy places the organism in Eukaryota, Metazoa, Chordata, Mammalia, Primates, Cercopithecidae.